Molecule: non-coding RNA, 32 nt
Filed under: Rattus norvegicus (Norway rat)
Lineage: Eukaryota; Metazoa; Chordata; Mammalia; Rodentia; Muridae
Source: RNAcentral
UCCACGGGUGCACUCAUUCCACUGGUUGGAGU